GACCACAUGCAGACAUAUUUUCCCGUGUAGCUGUUGUUGAUUUCGUUGGAAAAAAACUAGUUCAGUGGAAACAAAAUGUUUCUUGUUCAGUUGUUUUUCUGAACUUUCUACUUACUUUUUGUACUUAAAAUCAUUGUUAUGGUGGCGAAAAAGUGUGGAAGAAGAGCUCCCUUAGUUCCAAAAUAACGUGAUAUUGGUAAAUUUCGGAUUCUCUUGCAUGCAGCUUCCCGGAUGCACAAAGAAAAAGCAAAGACAAGCUGGUUCAACUUUACAUCGCGCAUAUUUUUUU
Molecule: long non-coding RNA, 289 nt
Organism: Armigeres subalbatus
Lineage: Eukaryota; Metazoa; Arthropoda; Insecta; Diptera; Culicidae
Exons: 3
Source: RefSeq, a predicted model, not a curated record